RNAcentral lists this long non-coding RNA (225 nucleotides) under Olea europaea (common olive). RNAcentral's name for it is "long non-coding RNA (OEUR_LNC004892)". The record is from RNAcentral. Lineage: Eukaryota; Viridiplantae; Streptophyta; Magnoliopsida; Lamiales; Oleaceae.
UCCUAAAUGCAUCGCUGCAAUAGCGGGCAAAGAGGCUGAGAAGCACUCUCAGCAAGCAAGGUGGCCCGCAAACAUCCCAAAAAUUACCUUCCAUCAUCGAACCCCUUGUAAAGAACAAAGAGACGAUGGGAAAAACUUUGAUGGGAAAAACUUCGCUGCUGGCCAAAAAAUAUUUCCUAUAUCUCCUAUACCAAAGGUGACAUCAAGACAAGUAGUAAAAUGGGC